GUCAUAUUUAUGUCGAGCUCUUCUGAUGUCGUAUGCACUCUGCUAUAUUCAGGGCAGGAAUGAACCUACCAGGGACAUAUUCUAUGGCUUGCCUGGAGUCAUUUCAGAUGCUGGCAGGAGGACUGUCUGGAACUGACAACACUAGCCGUGAUUACUGAGGAGACACUUUUGUUCACAUACUUUUUGGGGAUUCAGAAGAUACAUUCAGAUGAGGAUGUGACAUCCAUCAUUGCACAUUUGUGCUGUAAUGUCAGGUGAG
Long non-coding RNA from Cervus elaphus (red deer), 259 nucleotides. RefSeq lists it as uncharacterized. The transcript has 3 exons. NCBI's taxonomy places the organism in Eukaryota, Metazoa, Chordata, Mammalia, Artiodactyla, Cervidae. The record is from RefSeq and is a predicted model, not a curated record.